UCUCCAGGGAGAUGUCUGCUUCUUUUCCGCGAGUAACGUAGUGCCUGAGUUACUUCGAUAAUUCGACCGAAAGAUAAGGAUCGUCCUAUCCAUCAUAAAUCAGUAUUUUGUGUGCGUGCAUGCGUGCGUUCGUUCGUGUUGAGCGUGAGCAAACGAGCGAACGAAGUUCAGCCAGCAGCUUCAGGCAUGUUUUCUUGUCCUAAUUCCCGCUUUUCGAAGGAUGGGAAAGGGAGCCCGUGGCCACGAAACGGCAAACUGAACGAGCUACGAAUACGAAAUUAACAGGAACCUCGAGAUUAACAGCUGUUACCGAACGUGAGAAUUCUUUAUUUAUUUCUUUUUUUCUUUCUUUCUUUCUUUAUACUCAUCGAUUCGCUCAUUAGGGUCUCGUAAAAACGCAGUAACUUGCAACAUCGAUCGUGGUCAAAUUCUUUUCUUUUUCUCCUUUUCUUGCUUUCUUUUUUUUAAUUCUUUUUCUUUAUUUAAUCAGUCAAAUAUCAAUUAAUUUGUAUUACUUCAACCGGCGAUACUUUCUUUUCGGUAUGCACGUUUACGCAAUAUUUUGAAACAUUUUUACUGAUAAACUUUUGAUAAUUAUCUUAUACAAAUUUGUUGCGUUUUUUCUCGGCACGUUAAAAUUUGUAAGAUUUUUUUUUUCUUUGGAUUUGAUUAAAAGAUGUAUAAUAUUCUUCGAUUUAAAAGAAUAUAAUAUUCUUCGUUAAGUGAAUGAUUCGAAUUAUUCGAGAUAUGUACAUUUGUUAUUUAAAUUAGAUACUCUUUCUGCUAGCUCGUUUAAUUUUCAUUUUUGUGAAAACUGCAGCCCUCGUCAUGUUUAAUUAUGAUUUUUAUGAAAUUCUCUUGCAUUCUUAAGACGAACUCGCAACAUGGGAAUGUAAACAAGGCAAACAUUUUCGUCCACUCUCAUCUAAAACGUUCCUGUGUGACAUCUCGAGAGGCGGAUAAAAAAAAUAGAAAAUCAAGGAGCUAGAUCGAGCAGUUACGUGUUAAGUUAUAUUGCGGUAAUUGGAGAAAAAAAGAGAAAGAAAUAUAAAAUGAGAAAGAGAAAGAGAAAGAGAGGGAGAGAGAGAGAGAGAGAGAAAGAGAGAGAGAGAGAGAGAGAGAGAGAAAAUAAGUGAGUGAAUGUAUUCGCUCGCCCGUAUAAUUGGAUGCACUGUGCCGGUAAUCCGUUUGAAACGUGUACCGCGAAGAAAAAACUCAGUUGAUUGUGGCGGUGACUCGUGCUGUUAUUCUUCUGGUCAGUUAAUUUCGUAGUUUCUUCUGUGAUCCCGUAAAAAUAAAAGAAAGAAUUUAUAUCUCCUCGAAAGAUAUAACCUUGACGAAUCUGUAAAUCGUGCAGUGAGAAAUCCAACGUUCAAGAGGUCCACUACUCUCGUGUCGUUUCAACGAGCAGGUGCGCCAUGCAUCAGGAAAGGCCAGUCUUCUUUCUUGUUGAUCUUGAUUCUGCCCUUUGGACCGCCACCGAUCCCACCUGCCGAUCACGUGGCUUCCACGAAACAUUCGGCUAAGAACUCGCGUGAUUUACUUUUCGAUUGAACGUUGUGCAUUUUGUUGCACAAGUUGCAAAGUGAAUUAAUUUUGUAUGACGGCGAAAUUCGAGCAUCCAUUUAAGGUCACGUUAACAAGAGUCAAAGGCUACUUUGAAUAAUUUUUUAUAGAUACGUAUAUAUCGCGAGAAUUUUUCUCCUUUUCUCAUAAUAUUUAUUUAUAUUCGAACGAAUGAUACGCUAUGAUAAAUGUACAAUAUUCGUCAAUUCAAUCAAUUUCAAAUUAAUAUUUUUAUUAAAUAAAACUCGUAAUCAUCAUAUUUUAUUUCUAGAAAUUUUCAAAAACUUCUAGAAGUGUCUUAUAUUAAAUUAAAUAAAAGUUAGAGAUUAAAAAAAUGUCCUAGGUAGUAAGAGUAUUGCUAUUUCAAAGACACGAUAGGAAAAGAUAAAUAUUUUUAUUUGUUUACAAUCGUUUCUGUUAGUUGUAGUAAUAGUAGUCUAACAUUAUCACGAAUAAAGAUCUAUAGCUCUAUCGUUCUUUGCAAACAUACGCCCGGAUGCAUAGGACGCAGCUGCUCAUUGACAAUAAAACUUUUACUUAUAGGAUAGUAAUCAUAGCAGUCUCAUAUGAUUCUAGUCGCGCAUCUUGUAAAAUUUGCGUCUGAUCGAUAAUCGAGUAGGUAGACGAAGGGUUACCAUUAGACAGGCAGCACAUUGCAAAAGAUUACGUUCAUUCUCGAGAGAAAGAACAGGUGUAUUCUACCUUCUCGAUAAAUAUCUCGAAAUAUGAAUCAAAGGUGUUUUUCAUAUAUAAGCGUAUACAUAUUUACGUAUAUACAUAUACACGUAAUAUACGCGCGCGUGUGAGUAUGUGUGUGUGUGUGUGUAAAUAUGUAUGUAUGUAUGUAUACAUUUAUUUAUAUUCAAGUCGAUAGAUGUAUUUCGAUGAUCGUCCCUUUAAAAUUCAUGCGUAACUUCCGUUUUAUAUGGAAAGCGUAUCAAGGGAAAGGAAAGAAUCAAGUUGAGUUACGUGUUACGUUGACGGAAUGAAAAAGAUUAAUGAAAUUCGGAAAGUCCAUUAAGGGUAAUUUAUCUUUUUUGAGAAAGUUUACUUCAUGCUUAUUACGUCAAUAACGACAUAGUACACUAUACGUUAUGAAGCAUCGCACGUUAAUUUUAUUUAUUAUUUAUUUUAUUUUGAAUUAUCUUAUUAAAGUUUUGUUGUUCUUUGUUUUAUAGUAUAAAAUCAUUAUCUAUCAUCUAUCAUCUAUUAUUCAUUAUUUUAUAUAGUACCGCUUAAUUAAUAAUGCUUUUUUUUAAAUAACACAUUAAUCACAUGUUCAUACUCAAUUCUAUCAUAAUUUUCUAUCGAUUAUUAUCAUAAUUUUUCUAAUGAUGAUAGAUUCGCUAAUGUUCGAAGAAAAAAUCAAUAUAGCACGUUAUUAGCUAUCUCUUUUUAGAUUGAAAAAUCUGAGAAGCCAAAGGAUACCGUCUCGAUCAUUUCACGCACUAUACGAUCACGUUGCAACGAUUUGUAAUUGAAUAUGAUAGAUCGUUCGAUGGACACUAAAAAAUCGUAGGACUCAAACCUUCUUGGCAAGAUGUCCGAUUGACGACCACCUCUCGAUAGUCAGUUUGCCGACUGGUGACAAUUUGAUGACAAUCAAACAUGCAAGAGAUGAGUUGUUUCUUGAAUGACUGAUCUCGUCUUAAUUGCUGGCAAUUAACAAGUUUUCCUUUCAAAUUCCAUUUAAAUCAUCUACUGUACAUUCUUAAUUCUUUACUACCUGUUGCGUGCCCUAUAAGAAAAAGCUUUGCUGCUAUUUUUGUUCGUUUUUUUCUUUUUUUUCUUUCAUAAUUUUCUUUCAUGAAGGACUUUGCGAGUAUAUUUUUUUUAAAGUUAAAACAUUGUAUUUUGCUUCUCCUUUUUUUUCUUUUUUAAUUUUUUUAUUUAAUCAAGAAAAUGUUAAUCUUCUAAGUUCUUUGUUCGAUAAAUUUACAUUCUUAUUCUAAUUAUCAAUUUCUUCGUGAUAAUUUGUCUUAAUUCAUUAAUGUUAAAUUAUUCUGAAUAUAAUUAUAUCGUCAAUUUAAAAAUCAGUGAACAAUUUUAAAAUUAAAAUCUAUUGUAAAUGGUAAUGUUAAAGUUACGGUUUAAAGAAAAUCGGAAAAAUCGGUGAAUACCACCGUAAUGGUAGUAAUAUGGGCUCUUGGAUACAGCACAUAAUUCUUGUUCCCGAUUUUCUAGAGCCCUCCCGGGCCGGGAGAAAGAGGGAGAACGAAAGAAAAAGAAAGAGAGAGAGAGAGAGAGAGAAAGAGAUAGAGAGAGAAAGAGAGAGAGAGAGAGAAGUAAUAACCGGUGUGGAGUGGUCCGUGUGCUCAUGAAAACGACUGAGGGUGAAAAAGGAAAAGAGUGAACGAGAAAGAAAGAAAGAGAGGGAGAUAAAAAAACUGUAGAAACAAACGAACCGCAGGGUAGCAGCGUACCUAGCUCGUCGUGAUGUUUCUACACUUCUGUAGCAAACUCCGUCGCGUGGUCGUCGUAUACAUCUGAGAAAAGAAAGAAAAAAGAAAAAGAAAAAAGAAAUAAAAAGGGAAAUGAGACUCCGAAUGAUUACUGACCCACAUCCUAGUCUUCACGACAAAGCGUUUCCUCUGUUCCGUUUUUCUUCCAACAGCUUGCUAUUUGGAUAGACAGCAUAGGACGAAGAGGAACGUUAAAAAUCUCGACUCCCUGGGGAAUCCAGCUAGGCUUUCUCACGACGUUUUCGUUGUCGACGGCAUACGAUGAUAAACAAUGCUUCCAUACCGCUUCGAGGGAAGUCUCGUUAUGAUUCCAAAUCGUGGAGAAAAGUAUUUCGAUGCUUGGACGUAGUAGUUCGUUCAAAAGUUUGCCAACAAACGAUAUCUCUCUUUCUCUAUCGUGCAUUGUUUCAGUCGGGUUGUUUGAAUCGAUCAUACACGACAGUGAAUGGAAUAAAUAUUUUUAUUGUUCGUCUCAUUAAAAAAAUGUUUUUUCUUUUUUUCUAA
Long non-coding RNA from Vespa crabro (European hornet), 4532 nucleotides. RefSeq lists it as uncharacterized. The transcript is spliced from 2 exons. Lineage: Eukaryota; Metazoa; Arthropoda; Insecta; Hymenoptera; Vespidae. The record is from RefSeq and is a predicted model, not a curated record.